This 360-nucleotide ribosomal RNA is filed under the name uncultured bacterium. Its description in RNAcentral is "bacterial SSU rRNA". It matches the Rfam family "Bacterial small subunit ribosomal RNA", at positions 30 to 394 of the family's 1533-position model. The record is from RNAcentral.
AUUGAACGCUGGCGGCAGGCCUAAUACAUGCAAGUCGAACGGUAACAUAAGAAAGCUUGCUUUCUUGAUGACGAGUGGCGGACGGGUGAGUAAUAUUUGGGAAGCUACCUGAUAGAGGGGGACAACAGUUGGAAACGACUGCUAAUACCGCAUACAGCCUGAGGGUGAAAGCAGCAAUGCGCUAUCAGAUGCGCCCAAAACGGGAUUAGCUAGUAGGUGAGGUAAAAGGCUCACCUAGGCGACGAUCUCUAGCUGGUCUGAGAGGAUGAUCAGCCACAUUGGGACUGAGACAGGCCCAGACUCCUACGGGAGGCAGCAGUAGGGAAUAUUGCACAAUGAGGAAACGUACUGAUGCAGCCA